This 487-nucleotide ribosomal RNA is filed under the name uncultured bacterium. RNAcentral's name for it is "partial 16S ribosomal RNA". It matches the Rfam family "Bacterial small subunit ribosomal RNA", at positions 28 to 507 of the family's 1533-position model. The record is from RNAcentral.
GAUGAACGCUCGCGAUAGGCUUAACACAUGCAAGUCGAGGGGCAGCACAAGGUAGCUUGCUCUCUGGGUGGCGACCGGCGCACGGGUGCGUAACGCGUAUGCAACUUGCCCUAUACAGGAGGAUAACCCGUCGAAAGACGGACUAAUACUGCGUAUGCUCACAACUUGGCAUCAAGUGGUGAGGAAAGAAAUUCGGUAUAGGAUAGGCAUGCGUCCCAUUAGCUUGUUGGUGAGGUAACGGCUCACCAAGGCAACGAUGGGUAGGGGAACUGAGAGGUUUAUCCCCCACACUGGUACUGAGACACGGACCAGACUCCUACGGGAGGCAGCAGUGAGGAAUAUUGGUCAAUGGGCGCGAGCCUGAACCAGCCAAGUCGCGUGAAGGAUGACUGUCUUAUGGAUUGUAAACUUCUUUUAUACGGGAAUAACAAGAGUCACGGGUGACUCCCUGCAUGUACCGUAUGAAUAAGCAUCGGCUAACUCCGUG